CAGUCGCCGCGGGAAUACGAAGGAGGCUAGCGUUGCUCGGAAUCACUGGGCGUAAAGGGUGCGUAGGCGGGUCUUUAAGUCAGGGGUGAAAUCCUGGAGCUCAACUCCAGAACUGCCUUUGAUACUGAAGAUCUUGAGUUCGGGAGAGGUGAGUGGAACUGCGAGUGUAGAGGUGAAAUUCGUAGAUAUUCGCAAGAACACCAGUGGCGAAGGCGGCUCACUGGCCCGAUACUGACGCUGAGGCGCGAAAGCGUGGGGAGCAAACAGGAUUAGAUACCCCGGUAGUCCCUGUCUCUUAUAC
Molecule: ribosomal RNA, 301 nt
Filed under: uncultured bacterium
Lineage: Bacteria
Description: partial 16S ribosomal RNA
Rfam family: Bacterial small subunit ribosomal RNA
Source: RNAcentral